UACGUGGGGGGCAAGCGUUGUUCGGAAUUACUGGGCGUAAAGGGCUCGUAGGCGGCCAACUAAGUCGGAUGUGAAAUCCCCAGGCUUAACCUGGGAACUGCAUCCGAUACUGGAUGGCUUGAAUUCGGGAGAGGGAUGCAGAAUUCCAGGUGUAGCGGUGAAAUGCGUAGAUAUCGUGAGGAACACCAGAGGCGAAGGCGGCUACCUGGACAAUUGCUGACGCUCAGGCACGAAAGCGUGGGGAGCAAAAGGG
This 253-nucleotide ribosomal RNA is filed under the name uncultured bacterium. Its description in RNAcentral is "partial 16S ribosomal RNA". It matches the Rfam family "Bacterial small subunit ribosomal RNA", at positions 524 to 776 of the family's 1533-position model. The record is from RNAcentral.